AAUUCCUCAACCAUGUCUUGAUUGAAUUUCAAGGGGGCAUGGCUUGGAAUUUGGGGGUUGCCGGUGGCGAGAACAUUGCCUUGCCGGCUCUCCUGAAAUGCAUUAGCAAUUGGAUGGCUGGUCUUUUCGACGUGGCACGGCCUUUGACGUGAUAAUGAUCGUCGUGGCUGGAGCGUUGUGGACCGAUGCAUGGAUAGCCCAAUGCUUUCAAUAAUGUUUGGGAUCGAUCACUCGUCCUUUGAAAGGCCAUGCUCUCUGUUAUUAGUUGGUCGCAAAGGCUGACGAACACAGAACAAGCUUUUCUCCGGACUUGUAUACACGUUCCUCUUUGAA
This 333-nucleotide unclassified non-coding RNA is filed under the name uncultured Boletaceae. RNAcentral's name for it is "sequence contains ITS2". The record is from RNAcentral. Lineage: Eukaryota; Fungi; Basidiomycota; Agaricomycetes; Boletales; Boletaceae.